RNAcentral lists this ribosomal RNA (1415 nucleotides) under uncultured bacterium. Its description in RNAcentral is "bacterial SSU rRNA". It matches the Rfam family "Bacterial small subunit ribosomal RNA". The record is from RNAcentral.
UGCAAGUCGAGCGAGAAAGCUCCUUCGGGAGUGAGUAAAGCGGCGGACGGUUGAGUAACACGUGAGAAUCUGUCCUCUAGUGGAGAAUACCCUCGAGAAAUCGAGGCUAAUUCUGCAUAAGUCCCUUCGGGGAGAAAGGUGGCCUCUUGCUAUCGCUAGAGGAGGAGCCUGCGGACUAUCAGCUUGUUGGUGAGGUAACGGCUCACCAAGGCUAUGACGGAUAGCUGGCUUGAGAGAGUGGUCAGCCAGAUUGGAAUUGAGAUACGGUCCAGACUCCUACGGGAGGCAGCAGUGAGGAAUAUUGCGCAAUGGGCGAAAGCCUGACGCAGCGACGCCGCGUGGAGGAUGACGGCCUUCGGGUUGUAAACUCCUGUUAGGUGGGAAGAAAUCCCCAGCUCUAAUACAGUUGGGGGAUGACGGUACCAUCAGAGAAAGCACCGGCUAACUUCGUGCCAGCAGCCGCGGUAAUACGAGGGGUGCUAACGUUAUUCGGAAUUACUGGGCGUAAAGGGUGUGUAGACGGCGUGCUAAGUCGGUUGUUAAAGACUCCGGCUCAACCGGAGAGAUGUGGCCGAAACUGGCAUGCUAGAGGAUGGAAGAGAGAAGUGGAAUUCUCGGAGUAGCGGUAAAAUGCGUAGAUCUCGAGAGGAACACCGAUGGCGAAGGCAGCUUCUUGGUCCAUUCCUGACGUUGAUACACGAAAGCGUGGGGAGCAAACAGGAUUAGAUACCCUGGUAGUCCACGCUGUAAACGAUGAUCACUAGACGUCGGAUUUGUUUUACAGAUUCGGUGUCGCAGCUAACGCGUUAAGUGAUCCGCCUGGGGAGUACGGUCGCAAGACUAAAACUUAAAGGAAUUGACGGGGGUCCGCACAAGCGGUGGAACAUGUGGUUUAAUUCGACACUACGCGAGGAACCUUACCUAGGCUUGACAUGCAUUUGACAGCCGUAGAAAUACGGUCUUUUGAAUUUCGGUUCAGACAGAUGCACAGGUGCUGCAUGGCUGUUGUCAGCUCGUGUCGUGAGAUGUUUGGUUAAGUCCUCUAACGAGCGCAACUCCUACUGUCAGUUGCUACUUGCGUGAGCAAGGCACUCUGACGGAGCUGCCUGGGAAACCAGGAGGAAGGUGGGAAUGACGUCAAGUCAGCAUGGUCCUUAUGUCUAGGGCUACACACGUGUUACAAUGGCCAGUAUAACGAGAUGCAAGUCCGCGAGGGCAAGCGAACCUCUUAAAGCUGGUCUAAGUUCGGAUUGGAGUCUGCAACCCGACUCCAUGAAGUUGAAAUCGCUAGUAAUCGCGCAUCAGCAACGGCGCGGUGAAUACGUUCUCGGACCUUGUACACACCGCCCGUCACACCACGAAAGCUGUUUGUACCCGAAGCCGCCUUAGCUAACCUGUAAAGGAUGCGGGCGUCU